AUUGAACGCUGGCGGCAGGCCUAACACAUGCAAGUCGAACGAGUGGCGGACGGGUGAGUAAUGUCUGGGAAACUGCCCGAUGGAGGGGGAUAACUACUGGAAACAGUAGCUAAUAGCGCAUACCAUCGGAUGUGCCCAGAUGGGAUUAGCUAGUAGGUGGGGUAAAGGCUCACCUAGGCGACGAUCCCUAGCUGGUCUGGGAGGAUGAACAGCCACACUGGGACUGAGACACGGUCCAGACUCCUACGGGAGGCAGCAGUGGGGAAUCUUGGGCAAUGGUCGCAAGCCUGAUGCAGCCAUGUCGCGUGUAUGAAGAAGGCCUUCGGGUGGUAAAGUACUGUCAUCGGGGAGGCGUUACUCGCAGAAUAAGCACCGGCUAACUCCGUGCCAGCAGCCGCGGUCCUUC
Molecule: ribosomal RNA, 406 nt
Filed under: uncultured bacterium
Lineage: Bacteria
Description: partial 16S ribosomal RNA
Rfam family: Bacterial small subunit ribosomal RNA
Source: RNAcentral